UACGUAGGGGGCAAGCGUUGUCCGGAAUCAUUGGGCGUAAAGCGCGCGUAGGCGGUCCGGUAAGUCUGCUGUGAAAGUCGGGGGCUCAACCCUCGGAUGCCGGUGGAUACUGUCGGGCUUGAGUACGGAAGAGGCGAGUGGAAUUCCUGGUGUAGCGGUGAAAUGCGCAGAUAUCAGGAGGAACACCAAUUGCGAAGGCGGCUCUCUGGGACGGUACUGACGCUGAGACGCGAAAGCGUGGGGAGCGAACAGG
This 253-nucleotide ribosomal RNA is filed under the name uncultured bacterium. RNAcentral describes it as "partial 16S ribosomal RNA". It matches the Rfam family "Bacterial small subunit ribosomal RNA", at positions 524 to 776 of the family's 1533-position model. The record is from RNAcentral.